RNAcentral lists this ribosomal RNA (252 nucleotides) under uncultured bacterium. Its description in RNAcentral is "partial 16S ribosomal RNA". It matches the Rfam family "Bacterial small subunit ribosomal RNA", at positions 524 to 776 of the family's 1533-position model. The record is from RNAcentral.
UACGAAGGGGGCUAGCGUUGCUCGGAUUGACUGGGCGUAAAGCGCACGCAGGUGGUCGUGCAAGUGUCGUGUGAAAGCAGCUCGCUUAACGAGCUGAGGCAUGGCAGACUGCACAACUCGAGCCCGUGAGAGGUCGGUGGAAUUGCCGGUGUAGUGGUGAAAUGCGUAGAGAUCGGCAGGAACACCCAAGGGGAAGCCAGCGGACUGGCACGGUGCUGACACUGAGGUGCGACAGCGUGGGGAGCAAACGGG